UCAGAAACUCAAAGGAAGUUGACGGGGCCCGCACAAGCGGAGGAGCAUGUGGUUUAAUUCGAUGAUACGCGAGGAACCUUACCUGGGCUCGAACGUAAGAUGACUGUAGGUGAAAGCUUACAUCUCUUCGGAGCAUUUUACGAGGUGCUGCAUGGUUGUCGUCAGCUCGUGCCGUGAGGUGUCGGGUUAAGUCCCAUAACGAGCGCAACCCCUACCUUUAGUUGCCAUCAGGUUAAGCUGGGGACUCUAAAGGAACUGCCUACGCAAGUAGUGAGGAAGGCGGGGAUGACGUCAAAUCAGCACGGCCCUUACGUCCAGGGCUACACACGUGCUACAAUGGCCGAUACAGAGGGCAGCUACCUGGUGACAGGAUGCAAAUCUCCAAAGUCGGUCUCAGUUCGGAUCGGAGUCUGCAACCCGACUCCGUGAAGUUGGAUUCGCUAGUAAUCGCGCAUCAGCCAUGGCGCGGUGAAUACGUUCCCGGGCCUU
This 489-nucleotide ribosomal RNA is filed under the name uncultured Sphingobacteriales bacterium. RNAcentral describes it as "bacterial SSU rRNA". It matches the Rfam family "Bacterial small subunit ribosomal RNA", at positions 893 to 1382 of the family's 1533-position model. Lineage: Bacteria; Pseudomonadati; Bacteroidota; Sphingobacteriia; Sphingobacteriales. The record is from RNAcentral.